GUUAAUCAGACGGUCGCGGGCCGGUUUUGCCGGCACGAGGAAAGUCCGAGCCUCACAGAGCAAGGUGCCGGGUAACUCCCGGUGAAGGCGACUUUAAGGAAAGUGCAACAGAAAUAGACCGCCGCGGUCUUCGCGGUAAGGAUGGAAAGGCGGUGUAAGAGACCACCGUGUCCCCGGCGACGGGGAUAGCCCUGUAAACCCCACCUGAGGCAAGAUUUAGAAGGUUCGACCCUAUCUUAUUCGCCGCAAGGCGCAAUUAUGAUAUUCGGAACGUCUGCUCGGCGGCCUUCGCCAUAUCGCUCGAUCGGUUAGGUAACUAUCCGGCUAGAUAGAUGACCGUUUGAUACAGAACUCGGCUUACAGAUUAACUUG
Molecule: RNase P RNA, 372 nt
Filed under: human gut metagenome
Description: Bacterial RNase P class A
Rfam family: Bacterial RNase P class A
About the family: Ribonuclease P (RNase P) is a ubiquitous endoribonuclease, found in archaea, bacteria and eukarya as well as chloroplasts and mitochondria. Its best characterised activity is the generation of mature 5'-ends of tRNAs by cleaving the 5'-leader elements of precursor-tRNAs. Cellular RNase Ps are ribonucleoproteins.
Source: RNAcentral